This 498-nucleotide ribosomal RNA is filed under the name uncultured bacterium. RNAcentral describes it as "partial 16S ribosomal RNA". It matches the Rfam family "Bacterial small subunit ribosomal RNA", at positions 28 to 508 of the family's 1533-position model. The record is from RNAcentral.
GAUGAACGCUGGCGGCGUGCCUAAUACAUGCAAGUCGAGCGAACGGACGAGAAGCUUGCUUCUCUGAUGUUAGCGGCGGACGGGUGAGUAACACGUGGAUAACCUACCUAUAAGACUGGGAUAACUUCGGGAAACCGGAGCUAAUACCGGAUAAUAUUUUGAACCGCAUGGUUCAAAAGUGAAAGACGGUCUUGCUGUCACUUAUAGAUGGAUCCGCGCUGCAUUAGCUAGUUGGUAAGGUAACGGCUUACCAAGGCAACGAUGCAUAGCCGACCUGAGAGGGUGAUCGGCCACACUGGAACUGAGACACGGCCCAGACUCCUACGGGAGGCAGCAGUAGGGAAUCUGCCGCAAUGGGCGAAAGCCUGACGGAGCAACGCCGCGUGAGUGAUGAAGGUCUUCGGAUCGUAAAACUCUGUUAUUAGGGAAGAACAUAUGUGUAAGUAACUGUGCACAUCUUGACGGUACCUAAUCAGAAAGCCACGGCUAAAUACGUGC